UACGUAGGGUGCAAGCGUUGUCCGGAAUUAUUGGGCGUAAAGAGCUCGUAGGCGGUUUGUCGCGUCUGCUGUGAAAACGCGAGGCUCAACCUCGCGCCUGCAGUGGGUACGGGCAGACUGGAGUGCGGUAGGGGAGAUUGGAAUUCCUGGUGUAGCGGUGGAAUGCGCAGAUAUCAGGAGGAACACCGAUGGCGAAGGCAGAUCUCUGGGCCGUUACUGACGCUGAGGAGCGAAAGCGUGGGGAG
Molecule: ribosomal RNA, 245 nt
Filed under: uncultured bacterium
Lineage: Bacteria
Description: partial 16S ribosomal RNA
Rfam family: Bacterial small subunit ribosomal RNA
Source: RNAcentral